RNAcentral lists this ribosomal RNA (458 nucleotides) under uncultured Rhodocyclaceae bacterium. Its description in RNAcentral is "bacterial SSU rRNA". It matches the Rfam family "Bacterial small subunit ribosomal RNA", at positions 923 to 1382 of the family's 1533-position model. The record is from RNAcentral. Lineage: Bacteria; Pseudomonadati; Pseudomonadota; Betaproteobacteria; Rhodocyclales; Rhodocyclaceae.
GCACAAGCGGUGGAUGAUGUGAUUAAUUCGAUGCAACGCGAAAACCUUACCUACCCUUGACAUGUCCGGAAUCCCGAAGAGAUUUGGGAGUGCUCGCAAGAGAACCGGAACACAGGUGCUGCAUGGCUGUCGUCAGCUCGUGUCGUGAGAUGUUAGGUUAAGUCCCGCAACGAGCGCAACCCUUGUCAUUAGUUGCCAUCAUUUGGUUGGGCACUCUAAUGAGACUGCCGGUGACAAACCGGAGGAAGGUGGGGAUGACGUCAAGUCCUCAUGGCCCUUAUGGGUAGGGCUUCACACGUCAUACAAUGGUCGGUACAGAGGGUUGCCAACCCGCGAGGGGGAGCUAAUCCCACAAAGCCGAUCGUAGUCCGGAUCGCAGUCUGCAACUCGACUGCGUGAAGUCGGAAUCGCUAGUAAUCGUGGAUCAGCAUGUCACGGUGAAUACGUUCCCGGGUCUU